Molecule: small nucleolar RNA, 121 nt
Filed under: Echinops telfairi (small Madagascar hedgehog)
Lineage: Eukaryota; Metazoa; Chordata; Mammalia; Afrosoricida; Tenrecidae
Description: Small nucleolar RNA SNORA61 (ENSETEG00000024385.1)
Source: RNAcentral
AUUCACCAGUGUCCUUCCCCAUCAGAUCUGAACACUGGUCUAAGUGGUUACAAAAGAAGGAAAAUGAACAUUAAAACGGACUUCAGUGCUUUUGUAAUACGUGAGAAAGUUCCAAAUAUGU